UAAUGAACAAUAUAUAGUUCAUUUUGAAAUGCCGGAUUGUAAGACUUAUUUUGUGACUCUGUUUCUGUCGGAAGGAACUGACACGAUAGAUUACAUUGGCAACCCAGAGAGCCGUAAAACAAAGGUAUGUACUUCAAUAUUUUUUAUAUAAAUUGAAAAAUGAUUUGAUUAGAAAUCUGUUAUAAAACAUUUUGUAAACAGAGCAACAAAUCGCCGAUAAACUUGAGAUAAAGAUAAUGAUAAUGUGGAUGACAGGGAAGCGGCAGACGAUCAUGAGCAAUGCCAAUGGCAAAAAUAUUUCUGUAGAAAAUACUAUGCUGUAAAAUACACGUAUUUUUUGUUUCAACUUCGAUAUUUGUAAAAACUAAUCAACCCAGCAAGAUUUAUUUAGUUUAUCAACUGAAUUAGAGGGGGAAAUAUCCAUCACUGAUUUUGACAAAACAUUUAAGUACAUUAAAAUUACAUUGAAUAAGUGAUCAGCCGCCGUGGCUCAAUGGUACACAUCGCUGCUCUGCAACCUAGACGGUCAUAGAUCGUAUCUCAGACACAUUUUUUUUUUUUUUUUUUUUUUAAAUAUAUAAAUAAUGUCACCUGAAUGUAAUACUCGGUUCUUUAAGGAAAUAACAAACAUAACAAACACUUAUAAGGCACAAAGAUGUUCACUAGACCUAUAUCAUGCGGGAAUUGUAGAUAAUGAAUAUUACUGUUAUUUCCUUUCAUGAUUUUAUUGAAAGUGACUUCUCAGCUUAAAUGAUUAAAAAACCAACAAGCAAACAAUUAAAGGCUAUGCUUCCCUGUCACGCCAACUCUGUGUAUUUUUAAAAAAUAUUUCUGCUUUGUAUCCAUCCAUCUGCUGAGUUACGCCAUUUUCGAAUGAUUUUUAUAGUCAAUUCUUAUGUGUCCUUGUCGGUGUUGUUGCAAGGGGGGUUACUUCCUAUUUUUUUAGUGGUAUGAGUGUGCCGCAAAACAGGGUAACUUUUUCAUGCCCUGUUUGUUAGAACAGUCUCCCUUUUUCAUGUCCUGCUGGUUAGAACAGGGUCGUCCUUUCAUGCCUUGCUGGUGAGAACAAGGUCUUUUUUAAACAAAGUAUUUGUCUAGAACAGGAUCGCGUAUAUAACUGUUUAAGAUACAGUAUAGAGCCCAGGUCUAGAACUGCAUCUAUUUUAUACGGUCUAGAACAGGGUAUACAUUUUUUGAGCGUGUAUAGAACAGGGUAUGUUUUUUCAAUAUUUUUGUUUAGAACAGGAUAUAUGUUUUUCAAUAUUUUCUGGUUAGAACAGGAUAUGAUUCGGCAAGUGCUGUCGGCACAGUUAUGCCAUAAAGGAUAGUCAGUAACCCAACCCCACAACCUAACCAUGCCAACCACAGCGAAAAUCUAUGAUACAUUUUUAAUCAACAUAACUUUUUUUCUUUUUUUAGAUUCGAGAUACGUUGUUGUACGUCGCAGCAAUACCCAUGGCUUGGUUUAUUCACGCAUGGAUUGUCCUAGACAUUAAAAGAUGGCGGUGGUAGUGAAAACAUGUAUUAAACUUAAAUGUAAGUUGCAAAAUUAUUCAGUGUUAUUGAUUAUACUUGAAAGGGGCAUUAUGUACCAUAUAUGUAAUAAAAUAAAUACAUGUACGAAAAUCAAAUACAUAUUAUCAAGUCCAUGCAUCGUAAACUGUUUGUUAAAGACUUUUAAUACGACCGCAACAUUUUUUAGUUAUAUUGCUAUCAUGUCGUUGUCCGAGACACAUUUGGUUUCCAAACAAUAACUUAAGUUUAUGUGAAUGGAUCGCUUUAAAAUUUUACCAGAUGGUUCAAUACUACAAAAGAAAGGUAGGGAUUAAGUUUGGGGGUAAUACAUUUAGGAAGUCGGGGGCCAAAAAAUGACCAAAUACAUGCAAGAAUUAUAUUUCAGUUUUCAGACAAAAGCUUGUGUUAAAGUGUAUGGAUCGCAUUGAAAUUGUAAUACAAGAUAUCAUACCUUAAAGGAGUAGGCUGGGAUUUACUUAAGGGUAAUUUCUCCAAAGGGGGGAGGUAAACAAAAAGGGGCUCAAUUUUUUUUUCGAUUAUACAAUUGUUUGUGUUUUAUGUGUAAUUUUGUCUGUUUUUUUUUUAUCAGAGUGAGCAUUGGGACAAGUUGCGCUAGAGACUGUAUCUAAUUCGGAAUAUUCUCAUUGCACAAAAACUUUACAAAUAGAUAUAGGAAGAUGUGGUGUGAGUGCCAAUGAGACAGCUCUCCAUCCAAAUAAUAAUUUAUAAAAGUAAACCAUUAUAGGUCAAUGUACGCCCUUCAACACGGAGCCUUGGCUCACACCAAACAAUAAGCUAUAAAGGGCCCCAAAUUACUAGUGUAAACCCAUUCAAACGGGAAAACCAACGGUCUCAUCUAUAUAACAAACAUGUUACUAUAUCCUUUACGCACCUGCCCCAGGUGACUUCUGCAUUUUGAUAACUGCUUAACAAUCUUGUUCAUGAGCACUAUCCUCGAGAAGGAUACUAUAAUAACUCUUUUUGAUUUUUAUUUAUGCAUGUUGUGAUUAAAAGUGCUAGAAUAUAAAUAAAAGCUAUUUUAUAAAGAAUGUAAUGCUGCUUCUGGUGCAUGGUCAAGAAACACUAAACAUUACGGGUUAUAUGACUACAUAUAUUAUUAACUCAUGUAUAUUUCACGUUAUGGGUUUUUUUUGUUUGUAUUAUCUAUAUUGUAU
Molecule: long non-coding RNA, 2690 nt
Filed under: Mytilus galloprovincialis (Mediterranean mussel)
Lineage: Eukaryota; Metazoa; Mollusca; Bivalvia; Mytilida; Mytilidae
Source: RNAcentral